Salvelinus fontinalis (brook trout) is the source of this 215-nucleotide long non-coding RNA. RefSeq lists it as uncharacterized. The record is from RefSeq and is a predicted model, not a curated record. Lineage: Eukaryota; Metazoa; Chordata; Actinopteri; Salmoniformes; Salmonidae. The transcript has 3 exons.
GCCUAUGGUAUGUGUUAGAGGGAUUCAGUAGGUCUAUGGUAUGUGUUAGAGGGAUUCAGUAGGUCUAUGGUAUGUGUUAGAGGGUAGGUCUAUGGUAUGUGUUAGAGGGUAGGUCUAUGGUAUGUGUUAGAGGGUAGGUCUAUGGUAUGUGUUAGAGGGUAGGUCUAUGGUAUGUGUUAGAGGGAUUCAGUAGGUCUAUGGUAUGUGUUAGAGGG